This 253-nucleotide ribosomal RNA is filed under the name uncultured bacterium. RNAcentral describes it as "partial 16S ribosomal RNA". It matches the Rfam family "Bacterial small subunit ribosomal RNA", at positions 524 to 776 of the family's 1533-position model. The record is from RNAcentral.
UACGUAGGGCGCAAGCGUUAUCCGGAAUUAUUGGGCGUAAAGAGCUCGUAGGCGGUCUGUUGCGUCGGUUGUGAAAACCUGGGGCUCAACUCCAGGCCUGCAGUCGAUACGGGCAGACUAGAGUUCGGUAGGGGAGACUGGAAUUCCUGGUGUAGCGGUGAAAUGCGCAGAUAUCAGGAGGAACACCGGUGGCGAAGGCGGGUCCCUGGGCCGAAACUGACGCUGAGGAGCGAAAGCGUGGGGAGCGAACAGG